Molecule: long non-coding RNA, 690 nt
Organism: Entelurus aequoreus (snake pipefish)
Lineage: Eukaryota; Metazoa; Chordata; Actinopteri; Syngnathiformes; Syngnathidae
Exons: 3
Source: RefSeq, a predicted model, not a curated record
GUGGGUGGCUUUGUCGCUCCAGCUCAUUGUCACAAAGACUAAGGAGCUGGAGGAGGAAGGCAACAGUGACCCCUGUUUCCAUCCGGGGGGUCGAUGUGAACAUUGUUGAAGAUUAUAAAUACCUUGGAGUUCACAUUGACAAUACACUGGACUGGUCUAAGAACACAGAGGCCGUCUACAAGAAGGGCAUUGGCGUCGUUAGGCCUAUUUUAGGGGGGGCUUAAGCCCUUCUUAAAAGAUUUGCAGCUCCGUUGAGGCGAGCCAGGUCAACGUGUCAUCGUCCAGGUCAAUCAGACCUUGUUCGCCAUGGUGGCCGGUGUUUGGGGCAAAGGGGGAGACAAAGACAGCUUCUACGCGGCCUCCCCCACGAGUAGCCUACAAGUUCAAAAAGCCUACAAAAGGAAGAAGAGUGCGGUGGCCAAGAAGAACAUUCCGCCCAGAACGAUGAUGAAGGGACACAGCAUGAGGGCAUAGCCCAGACUGAGAAAGCGCCACAGUGCCGACGUAGCGUAGCUCUCACGAAGGCUGUCGGAGAUCUUCAGAUAAGAAAGAAAGAAUUAGGUGUACAAACAAAAAGACGUGCACACAGAAGUGCAGCUUUCAUUAUCCACUAAUAUUAACUGCACAUGUAACAAGAAACAUCCUUUUCUAUGUUUAAGCACAUUAAUAACACAUAACGAGAUAAUAACA